AUGCAGUCGAGCGGAUGAAGGGAGCUUGCUCCUGGAUUCAGCGGCGGACGGGUGAGUAAUGCCUAGGAAUCUGCCUGGUAGUGGGGGAUAACGUUCCGAAAGGAACGCUAAUACCGCAUACGUCCUACGGGAGAAAGCAGGGGACCUUCGGGCCUUGCGCUAUCAGAUGAGCCUAGGUCGGAUUAGCUAGUCGGUGAGGUAAUGGCUCACCAAGGCGACGAUCCGUAACUGGUCUGAGAGGAUGAUCAGUCACACUGGAACUGAGACACGGUCCAGACUCCUACGGGAGGCAGCAGUGGGGAAUAUUGGACAAUGGGCGAAAGCCUGAUCCAGCCAUGCCGCGUGUGUGAAGAAGGUCUUCGGAUUGUAAAGCACUUUAAGUUGGGAGGAAGGGCUGUAGGCUAAUAUCCUGCGGUUUUGACGUUACCAACAGAAUAAGCACCGGCUAACUUCGUGCCAGCAGCCGCGGUAAUACGAAGGGUGCAAGCGUUAAUCGGAAUUACUGGGCGUAAAGCGCGCGUAGGUGGUUCGUUAAGUUGGAUGUGAAAGCCCCGGGCUCAACCUGGGAACUGCAUCCAAACUGGCGAGCUAGAGUACGGUAGAGGUAGUGGAAUUUCCUGGGUAGCGGUGAAUGGGUA
This 638-nucleotide ribosomal RNA is filed under the name uncultured bacterium. RNAcentral's name for it is "bacterial SSU rRNA". It matches the Rfam family "Bacterial small subunit ribosomal RNA", at positions 55 to 692 of the family's 1533-position model. The record is from RNAcentral.